Molecule: ribosomal RNA, 247 nt
Filed under: uncultured Lactobacillus sp.
Lineage: Bacteria; Bacillati; Bacillota; Bacilli; Lactobacillales; Lactobacillaceae
Description: partial 16S ribosomal RNA
Rfam family: Bacterial small subunit ribosomal RNA
Source: RNAcentral
CGUGGGGAACCUGCCCCAUAGUCUGGGAUACCACUUGGAAGCAGGUGCUAAUACCGGAUAAGAAAGCGGAUCGCAUGAUCAGCUUUUAAAAGGCGGCGUAAGCUGUCGCUAUGGGAUGGCCCCGCGGUGCAUUAGCUAGUUGGUAAGGUAAAGGCUUACCAAGGCGAUGAUGCAUAGCCGAGUUGAGAGACUGAUCGGCCACAUUGGGACUGAGACACGGCCCAAACUCCUACGGGAGGCAGCAGUG